Molecule: long non-coding RNA, 407 nt
Filed under: Oryza brachyantha (malo sina)
Lineage: Eukaryota; Viridiplantae; Streptophyta; Magnoliopsida; Poales; Poaceae
Description: long non-coding RNA (OBRA_LNC001323)
Source: RNAcentral
UCUACAUAUACAUCUAAGAGCUGCCAUGUGAGUUAUAAGAAGAGAAUAUGUGUUGUCAACCUGUCGUAGCUUGCGUGCUACUUGAUUGUGUUGCUUUCUUUCUUCUAUAGUUCGGACCCGUGGAUGAACAAAGGCUUAGAAAAAAUUAAUAUGGAAAUAGUAGGCAAUCGUAAUGGUUGCUUUAUGAUAAAGUAGUUUCCUAGGAUUAUCUUUAAUCCAUAUAAGAGUGUGUGCUUUCGAGCUUGUUUGUCACUUGCAGAACUGGAAGGGGAUGAACUAUAUUGAGCCCACAGAUGAACUUGUAGCAAGAACAUUGAUACUAAGCUGGAGUUUUCAAUGGGAUGUCAAACUGAUGGGUAGGUUAAAACUAUCCAGUAGUUGAUGUUUGACGUUAAAGGAAUCGGCGU